This 376-nucleotide ribosomal RNA is filed under the name uncultured bacterium. RNAcentral describes it as "bacterial SSU rRNA". It matches the Rfam family "Bacterial small subunit ribosomal RNA", at positions 29 to 412 of the family's 1533-position model. The record is from RNAcentral.
AACGAACGCUGGCGGCAGGCCUAACACAUGCAAGUCGAACGCCGUAGCAAUACGGAGUGGCAGACGGGUGAGUAACGCGUGGGAACAUACCCCUCGGUUCGGAAUAACUCAGGGAAACGUUAGAGCUAAUACCGGAGUACGUCCGAGGUUUUGGUAUCGACCUUGGAGAAAGAUUUAUCGCCGAAGGAUUGGCCCGCGUCUGAUUAGCUUGUUGGUGAGGUAAUGGCUCACCAAGGCGACGAUCAGUAGCUGGUCUGAGAGGAUGAUCAGCCACAUUGGGACUGAGACACGGCCCAAACUCCUACGGGAGGCAGCAGGUGGGGAAUAUUGGACAAUGGGCGAAAGCCUGAUCCAGCCAUGCCGCGUGAGUGAUGAA